GAGCUGCCGGCUUGCUUCUGGCAGAGCUUCAUAUUUCUCUCUAAAGGCGGUCACACACCGGAUGAAAAGCGCCCUGCUGCAUCUAGGACAUCUCGAGAAUCCUGUUCACCCUGCAGCCUUGUGACUGCUCUCCAGAUGGACUCAUUACAACCAAUCCUCCACAGCUGCAAGGUCAGGCUAGUAGCAGAUCAGAGGAAGGGGCUGAUGGAGAAUUGCCAUAUGACCAAUCUAUCCUGAGAUGACAGUGGCAAGAUGGUGUGUAUGUCGCUGUCAGAGCUGAUGUUGGUGCCAGGCUCUAUUGAUCUGUCCUAACAGUUAUUCAAGCCCUUUAAACUCAGCCCAGGACUACUGCAGCACAGAAUUAAAUGAAAGAAAUCCCUGAGAGACAACGGAAUGGUGAGUGUGGAGCAGGGAGAGGAAAGGAUGGAGUGAACAAGUGAAUGAAAGUCUGUUUGAUAAAGAGUGUUCGGAGCUGAGGGCUAGGAUUUCGACAUGUUGAAGAUCUCAGAGCUUCAUUGAUCGAAUGUCUUCCUCUCAGCCACACACACUGACCAUCAACCCAUCAAAGAUCACACAAUACUCCACACCUAUGGAUCAGGCUUCCAGGAAUCUGAAGAGUUACCGUACAUGCUUACAGAAGCUCUUGAACAAUACAUUGUGACUAAAGACACAUCGCUAUUCCUUUUUUGACAGAAAUGCUGUUUCUCAGACCAAAGCUUCAGUGUAAUGAGCCGA
Molecule: long non-coding RNA, 735 nt
Organism: Carassius auratus (goldfish)
Lineage: Eukaryota; Metazoa; Chordata; Actinopteri; Cypriniformes; Cyprinidae
Exons: 4
Source: RefSeq, a predicted model, not a curated record